Molecule: long non-coding RNA, 347 nt
Filed under: Rattus norvegicus (Norway rat)
Lineage: Eukaryota; Metazoa; Chordata; Mammalia; Rodentia; Muridae
Description: long non-coding RNA NONRATT032669
Source: RNAcentral
GUGGCUAGUGAGAUGGGGCUCAAGGAAAGUAAACAGGAACUGAAGAACCACAGAGAAUCGUGGUGGUUACCCGUUGUAUCUGAGGUGUGGGAACACGUGAGGACGUCGAACGUCAGUCCAACCUGACUGAACUCGGACAGCCAGAGUUCCCGAGCCCUGGAUAAUCUGGAGGAACUUAGUUCAUCAGCUCCCAGGAUCAUGUCUUUGGUACUUGUUUGCCAGACAAAGGGGAGUCUGCCUUGCUCACCUCUGUGGAUUUGGUGGCCAUGCUGCCUCUCCCAUGACAUUGCCUUCCUACUUCCAACUCAGAGCAUGAGGCCAAAGGUGCUUUCCAGCUCAAACACUGC